Molecule: ribosomal RNA, 331 nt
Filed under: uncultured eukaryote
Lineage: Eukaryota
Description: partial 18S ribosomal RNA
Rfam family: Eukaryotic small subunit ribosomal RNA
Source: RNAcentral
CCCUUAGAUGUUCUGGGCCGCACACGCGCUACACUGGCAGGUUCAUCGAGCUUCAUGCCCUGAUCUGAGAAGAACGGGAAAUCUUUGAACACCUGCCGUGCUUGGGAUAGAUGUUUGCAAUUAUUCAUCUUCAACGAGGAUUGCCUUGUAAGCGCACGUCAUCAGCGUGCAUUGAAUACGACCCUGUAUUCUGUACACACCGCCCGUCGCUCCUACCGAUUGAAGUUUUCGGUGAAUUUACUGGAGAUCCCUUUUGAAGGUGGUUCGCCACUGGAAGAAGUAUUCAAAAGUAAAUGAAUCGGAUGCUUUAGAGGAAGGAGAAGUCGUAACA